GAUAUAAUUAUUAUUAGUUGUGUAUAGUAUUAUUGUUUUGAUUUAUUAAAAGGCGAGAUUCUUUGUGGGUCAAUAUGCCUGGUAAAUUGGAUAAUAAUAAUGUACAUUGGCGAAGUAAUAGUUAGUUGAUGGAAUCCAUGUCUCGGUUUAGAUAUUGAUGAUACACCUUUAUGAAAGCUUAUAAGUUUUCAUGUGUAAAACCAGCCGAUGGAUUUUGUAUCCAACACAUGAAAUAAGUUAAGCGAAAGUCU
This 251-nucleotide long non-coding RNA is filed under the name Nicotiana benthamiana. RNAcentral describes it as "long non-coding RNA (NBEN_LNC014879)". Lineage: Eukaryota; Viridiplantae; Streptophyta; Magnoliopsida; Solanales; Solanaceae. The record is from RNAcentral.